CCCCCGGCGCCCCGCCUCCGGGUCGGCUCCCUCGGCGCCGCGCCGCCACCGAGCCCCGAGCAGCCUGGCCGUCGCGGCCGCCGCGCCACCAAACUUUCCCCGGAGCCGGCGCCGCUUGGAUGGCAAGAUCCACUGAAACUUGUCGCCGAUGGCAGAGUGGGUGUUAGAAGCCAUUACGUCACAGCAGAGAGGACCGAGCAGAGGAAGCUGAGGAAGACACCUCAGGGGAUGGUUCAACGCGUGGAUUCUCGUGUCCAGCAGACCUCAGUUUGAAUCUUGGUCCUGUCAGCUUGUUAGUUGGGUUUAAGGUGAAGAGUGAAGUUUCCAGCGCUAGAUGACCGAGGUUUGGAUCUCAGCUGCACCGCUUUGCAGAAUGUGUCCCCAGCAAGCCAUCUACCCUGUCUUUGCCGUGAUUCCUUCGAUUAGAAAGUGGAGUUGGUGACGGUAUUAACUUACAGGAUUGUUAUGAGUAUUAAAUGAGUCAU
This is an RNA transcript of Capra hircus (goat), 485 nucleotides long. RefSeq lists it as uncharacterized. The record is from RefSeq and is a predicted model, not a curated record. NCBI's taxonomy places the organism in Eukaryota, Metazoa, Chordata, Mammalia, Artiodactyla, Bovidae. The transcript is spliced from 3 exons.